CCAAAUAUCCCAUAAAUUCAUGAGAUAUUCAUAAAUCUCGAAUAUCUAGCUAAUUUCAUAAACUCAUGGAAUAUCACAAAGGAUCAAAAUCCUCUCUUCUUGAUAAUCAAAUACAUCAAGAAGGUCCACAAAAUCCUCCUUUCAUGGAGAUCAAAUCUAAAUAUUCCUACGUUCGAGAAAUACGCCACUAACGGUUCUUGAAUUACGGAGAAGUCCAAAUAUUCCUAUAUUCGAGAAAUACGCCACUAACGACCAUUGAAUUACGAAGAAAUCCAAAUAUUCCUACAUUCGAGAAAACAAAUUGGCAUGCCCAGCGGGAUCAAAUCUGCCCUUUAUCUCUUCUCUCACAAAUCAAAUAUGCAAAUCUGUAGUCGCAGGAGCAUGGAAGCUCUAUGGGUACUUCAAGACUCGUCAUCAAGUCUAUACUUCGACAAGCCUUGAAGUAGGGGCAUUUGUAGACACAUAAAGUUUGCGGGACUCUGUGGGACUCUACAAAAAGAUUUCAAAUUCUGUUAGAGUUCUUAGAGUCUAGUUUACCCUAAACCCUGAAUUAUACCUAUAAAAAGGGGACGACUUACUCCCUUUGAACAAGUAUGUUGAAUAUCAUGGAUAUUCGUAAAAAGAUCGGGAUCUCCAAUAUCCCACAAAAUCAUGGGAUAUUCAUAAAGAGAUCAUCCUAUAUUCGAGAAUAAGCCACUAACGGCCCUCAAAUUAUGGAGAAAAUCAAUAGAGAAGAAUCAAGGGAGGAACAGAUUUGAACUCUCAUCGUUUAUCAAUAAAAUUCUUGUUUCUUCGUAA
RNAcentral lists this long non-coding RNA (798 nucleotides) under Capsicum annuum. RNAcentral's name for it is "long non-coding RNA (CANN_LNC012993)". The record is from RNAcentral. Lineage: Eukaryota; Viridiplantae; Streptophyta; Magnoliopsida; Solanales; Solanaceae.